Molecule: ribosomal RNA, 492 nt
Filed under: uncultured bacterium
Lineage: Bacteria
Description: partial 16S ribosomal RNA
Rfam family: Bacterial small subunit ribosomal RNA
Source: RNAcentral
AGUGAACGCUGGCGGUAGGCCUAACACAUGCAAGUCGAACGGCAGCACAGUAAGAGCUUGCUCUUACGGGUGGCGAGUGGCGGACGGGUGAGGAAUACAUCGGAAUCUACUUUUUCGUGGGGGAUAACGUAGGGAAACUUACGCUAAUACCGCAUACGACCUACGGGUGAAAGCAGGGGACCUUCGGACCUUGCGCGAUUGAAUGAGCCGAUGUCGGAUUAGCUAGUUGGCGGGGUAAAGGCCCACCAAGGCGACGAUCCGUAGCUGGUCUGAGAGGAUGAUCAGCCACACUGGAACUGAGACACGGUCCAGACUCCUACGGGAGGCAGCAGUGGGGAAUAUUGGACAAUGGGCGCAAGCCUGAUCCAGCCAUACCGCGUGGGUGAAGAAGGCCUUCGGGUUGUAAAGCCCUUUUGUUGGGAAAGAAAAGCAGCAGGAUAAUACCCCGCUGUUCUGACGGUACCCAAAGAAUAAGCACCGGCUAACUUCGUG